This 753-nucleotide ribosomal RNA is filed under the name uncultured bacterium. Its description in RNAcentral is "bacterial SSU rRNA". It matches the Rfam family "Bacterial small subunit ribosomal RNA", at positions 8 to 805 of the family's 1533-position model. The record is from RNAcentral.
AGAGUUUGAUCAUGGCUCAGGAUGAACGCUGGCGGUAUGCUUAACACAUGCAAGUCGAACGGAGUAGCAAUACUUAGUGGCGGACGGGUGAGUAACGCGUAAGAAUCUAGCUUCAGGUUCGGGACAACAGUUGGAAACGACUGCUAAUACCGGAUGUGCCUACGGGUGAAAGGCUUGCUGCCUGAAGAAGAGCUUGCGUCCGAUUAGCUAGUUGGUAAGGUAAAGGCUUACCAAGGCAUCGAUCGGUAGCUGGUCUGAGAGGAUGACCAGCCACACUGGGACUGAGACAAGGCCCAGACUCCUACGGGAGGCAGCAGUGGGGAAUUUUCCGCAAUGGGCGAAAGCCUGACGGAGCAAUACCGCGUGAGGGAAGAAGGCUCUUGGGUUGUAAACCUCUUUUCUCAGGGAAUAAAAAAAUGAAGGUACCUGAGGAAUAAGCAUCGGCUAACUCCGUGCCAGCAGCCGCGGUAAUACGGAGGAUGCAAGCGUUAUCCGGAAUGAUUGGGCGUAAAGCGUCCGCAGGUGGUACAACAAGUCUAGUGUCAAAGACCGGGGCUCAACCCCGGAAAGGCGGUGGAAACUGUUGAACUAGAGGGCCGUAGGGGUAGAGGGAAUUCCCAGUGUAGCGGUGAAAUGCGUAGAGAUUGGGAAGAACAUCGGUGGCGAAGGCGCUCUACUGGACGGCAACUGACACUCAGGGACGAAAGCUAGGGGAGCGAAUGGGAUUAGAUACCCCAGUAGUCCUAGCCGUAA